GAUGAACGCUGGCGGCGUGCCUAAUACAUGCAAGUCGAGCGAACGGACGAGAAGCUUGCUUCUCUGAUGUUAGCGGCGGACGGGUGAGUAACACGUGGAUAACCUACCUAUAAGACUGGGAUAACUUCGGGAAACCGGAGCUAAUACCGGAUAAUAUUUUGAACCGCAUGGUUCAAAAGUGAAAGACGGUCUUGCUGUCACUUAUAGAUGGAUCCGCGCUGCAUUAGCUAGUUGGUAAGGUAACGGCUUACCAAGGCAACGAUGCAUAGCCGACCUGAGAGGGUGAUCGGCCACACUGGAACUGAGACACGGUCCAGACUCCUACGGGAGGCAGCAGUAGGGAAUCUUCCGCAAUGGGCGAAAGCCUGCCGGAGCAACGUCGCGUGAGUGAUGAAAGUCUUCGGAUCGUAAAACUCUGUUAUUAGGGAAGAACAUAUGUGUAAGUAACUGUGCACAUCUUGACGGUACCUAAUCAGAAAGCCACGGCUAACUACGUG
RNAcentral lists this ribosomal RNA (497 nucleotides) under uncultured bacterium. RNAcentral's name for it is "partial 16S ribosomal RNA". It matches the Rfam family "Bacterial small subunit ribosomal RNA", at positions 28 to 507 of the family's 1533-position model. The record is from RNAcentral.